CAUCAGCAAUUGCGAUUGAAGAUGUGCGAAGGGAGGUGAAAAUAUUGCGAGCCUUGACAGGACAUAACAAUCUAGUACAAUUCUAUGAUGCAUUUGAAGACCACGAUAAUGUCUACAUAGUAAUGGAGUUAUGUGAAGGAGGGGAGCUUCUAGACAGAAUACUUUCAAGGGGUGGAAAAUACUCAGAAGAUGAGGCAAAGGCUGUCAUGGUACAGAUACUGAAUGUGGU
Molecule: long non-coding RNA, 229 nt
Organism: Corylus avellana
Lineage: Eukaryota; Viridiplantae; Streptophyta; Magnoliopsida; Fagales; Betulaceae
Source: RefSeq, a predicted model, not a curated record